GGCAGCAGUGAGGAAUAUUGGGCAAUGGGCGAAAGCCUGACCCAGCCACGCCGCGUGUGUGAUGAAGGCCUUCGGGUCGUAAAGCACUGUGGGGAGAGACGAAACAGCGCAUCAGGAAAUGGUUGCGCCUUGACGGUACCUCCUUAGCAAGCACCGGCUAACUCUGUGCCAGCAGCCGCGGUAAUACAGAGGGUGCAAACGUUGCUCGGAUUUACUGGGCGUAAAGCGCGUGUAGGCGGACUCGCAAGUCGGUUGUGAAAUCCCUGGGCUCAACCUAGGAACUGCAUCCGAAACUGCUUGUCUUGAGUAAUGGAGAGGGUGGCGGAAUUCCCGGUGUAGAGGUGAAAUUCGUAGAUAUCGGGAGGAACAUCAGUGGCGAAGGCGGCCACCUGGACAUUUACUGACGCUGAGACGCGAAAGCGUGGGGAGCAAACAGGAUUAGAUACCCUGGUAGUCCACGCCGUAAACGAUGAGCAUUAGGUGCAGCGGAUAUUGACCUCUGCUGUGCCGUAGCUAACGCGUUAAAUGCUCCGCCUGGGGAGUACGGCCGCAAGGCUAAAACUCAAAUGAAUUGACGG
This 578-nucleotide ribosomal RNA is filed under the name uncultured bacterium. Its description in RNAcentral is "bacterial SSU rRNA". It matches the Rfam family "Bacterial small subunit ribosomal RNA", at positions 347 to 916 of the family's 1533-position model. The record is from RNAcentral.